AUGACAAAAAGAGCAUCUAACCCUAGGUUUAUGUUUAUGGUGCUACCUCUUGUUCUAUUUUUGAUGUGCCAAGAGAUUUCAGCUACAAGCAGGUUAAGAAGCAAGGAGAACACUUGUACUUCAACUGGGAUUGCUAGCCAUGUUGAAGUCAGUGUGAUGGAUUACAGUGAUGAGGGCAAUGGAUCUCCGCCGCCACCCGAUGAUUAUGAUUUCUAUAGAAAACAUGGUGAUAUUCCAAGUCCUGGUGCUGGGCACUGA
Molecule: non-coding RNA, 258 nt
Organism: Vicia faba (fava bean)
Lineage: Eukaryota; Viridiplantae; Streptophyta; Magnoliopsida; Fabales; Fabaceae
Source: the annotation of a GenBank genome assembly